AGGGCUUGACAUGCAGCUGCACGUCCGGUGAAAGUCGGAUUCCUUUGAGGGCGCUGCACAGGUGGUGCAUGGCUGUCGUCAGUUCGUGCCGUGAGGUGUUGGGUUAAGUCCCGCAACGAACGCAACCCCUGUGUUUAGUUGCUACCGCAGGUGAUGAGCCUGCGGGCACUCUAGACAGACUGCCCGUGCAAGCGGGAGGAAGGUGGGGAUGACGUCAAGUCAGUAUGUCCCUUACGUCCUGGGCUGCACACGUGCUACAAUGGCAGGUACAGUGAGAAGCAAAGCCGCGAGGUGGAGCAAAUCUCCAAAACCUGCCCCAGUUCGGAUUGGAGUCUGAAACUCGACUCCAUGAAGU
RNAcentral lists this ribosomal RNA (355 nucleotides) under uncultured bacterium. RNAcentral describes it as "bacterial SSU rRNA". It matches the Rfam family "Bacterial small subunit ribosomal RNA", at positions 976 to 1326 of the family's 1533-position model. The record is from RNAcentral.